AGUGAACGCUGGCGGCAGGCCUAACACAUGCAAGUCGAGCGGCAGCGCGGGGGCAACCCUGGCGGCGAGCGGCGGACGGGUGAGGAAUUCGUCGGAAUCUGCCUUUUUGUGGGGGAUAACGUAGGGAAACUUACGCUAAUACCGCAUACGUCCUACGGGAGAAAGUGGGGACCGCAAGGCCUCACGCAGAAAGAUGAGCCGACGACCGAUUAGCUAGUUGGUGGGGUAAAGGCCCACCAAGGCGACGAUCGGUAGCUGGUCUGAGAGGAUGAUCAGCCACACUGGGACUGAGACACGGCCCAGACUCCUACGGGAGGCAGCAGUGGGGAAUAUUGGACAAUGGGCGCAAGCCUGAUCCAGCCAUGCCGCGUGUGUGAAGAAGGCCUUCGGGUUGUAAAGCACUUUUGUCCGGAAAGAAAUCCCUGGAGCUAAUACCUUCGGGGGAUGACGGUACCGGAAGAAUAAGCACCGGCUAACUUCGUG
RNAcentral lists this ribosomal RNA (483 nucleotides) under uncultured bacterium. Its description in RNAcentral is "partial 16S ribosomal RNA". It matches the Rfam family "Bacterial small subunit ribosomal RNA", at positions 29 to 507 of the family's 1533-position model. The record is from RNAcentral.